UACAAACCUCUCAGUGCCCCAAGAGUAAAUAACCAGGUAGAGAAGCUGCACAGGAAGUCAUCUAAUGAGGAGGAGAUCCUCAGCAGGGACCCUGGGGACAGCGAAGCCCCUACAGAGAUUGGGGAGGAGAGUGAAGCCCAGUCAUAGGAGAAGAAAGAGUGACCCCAGCCCGCCUCAGGCCUCCUGCAAAAAUACAUAGCAUAAACAACAAGAGCCAUCAGAAAGAAAAGCAGGACUGAAGCCAGCGGUCCACACAUCCACAGAGGCAGCGGGCAGAGGAAGCACAGGGCCGUCAUUCCCUCCCUUGUUUCCCAGUCUUACUAGUCACCCAGACCUGAAAACAUAUCCUCAGGGGUGGAGAUUUUACAAUUAAAUACUGUUGUUCUCUUGU
This is a long non-coding RNA of Piliocolobus tephrosceles (Ugandan red Colobus), 391 nucleotides long. RefSeq lists it as uncharacterized. The record is from RefSeq and is a predicted model, not a curated record. The transcript is spliced from 2 exons. NCBI's taxonomy places the organism in Eukaryota, Metazoa, Chordata, Mammalia, Primates, Cercopithecidae.